Molecule: ribosomal RNA, 253 nt
Filed under: uncultured bacterium
Lineage: Bacteria
Description: partial 16S ribosomal RNA
Rfam family: Bacterial small subunit ribosomal RNA
Source: RNAcentral
GACAGAGGGUGCAAACGUUGUUCGGAAUUACUGGGCGUAAAGCGCGUGUAGGCGGCUACGUAAGUCGGACGUGAAAUCCCACGGCUCAACCGUGGAAGAGCGCUCGAAACUGUGUAGCUUGAGUCCUGGAGAGGAAAGCGGAAUACUUGGUGUAGAGGUGAAAUUCGUAGAUAUCAGGUAGAACACCAGUGGCGAAGGCGGCUUUCUGGACAGUGACUGACGCUGAGACGCGAAAGCGUGGGGAGCAAACAGG